AAAGAGCUAGCUAUGGACCGGGGUGCGUGGAAGCUUGCUAUCCAUGUGCCAGAUCCAUGAGUUGGUUGCGAGAUCUUAUGGGUUUCACCUCUAGCCUACCCCAACUUGUUUGGGACUAAAGGCUUUGUUGUUGUUGUUUUGUUGUUGUUGUGAUGUCAUCUCUUCCUGAACUGCCAUUGACAUGUGCUGCAUGGCAAAGGCACAUAACCCUGUCAUCAACACCAUCGGUAUUCUUAAUAGUCAGGAAAGGUGCAACACAAAAUAUGGCUACAAAUUUCUUUUCUCUGUAAUCAUAACAAGAACUGAACAUAUUACAAAAAGAACUACAUCAUCUCCCAUCAAUAGAAAAAAUCUCAUUGUCUUUGACAGAAAUAUAUUUAAUUUAAUAACUAUUUCAGGAAAGCUCAUGCACACGCGUAGCAUAAUAACAAAACAACAGUCCCCUUAAAAUUAGGUAAGAGGCGGCAUCUAAGAUAGCCUUGGCGAACAACAGGGGAUGGAUAGUCUAUAAUUUGAAGGGAACUAUUGUUAUAAACUAAAAAAAUGAUUCUAAACUGCAAUAGUAGUGUAGCACAAAUAUACUGCUUUAUGUAUUCCGGUUGAUCAGUUCAUAUCAACUUGACUUUCCAAUGCUUGAACAAUUGAAUGAAUUUUGCAAUUGAAACUAAACACAAACUAACACCAUCAAAACAGAGGCAAUUGACGUGGUGCCACGCAAUGUCUUAUUGACCUUGGCCACCACACCAGCCUAAAUUGUAAAUAGAUGCGCAAGCCAAUCUCCGUACCUAUAAGUAUUCGGUGUAGGAUAGUGCAAAUAAGGGAUAUUAGCCUACAGAAAUAUGGGGUCAUGGCAAGGUUGAUCCCUUUCUUUUUCUAUCAUGUUCGUCUUCCUGAGUCCAAAGAGCAUCCGACCCUUGCUUCAAAGAUAAGGAGCCUCGCAAGGGUGACCAAAGCCAAUAUAGCAAUCAAAUGAGCCGAUAUCUCCUUGUAAGCAUUGUGUUUAUGUUGGUUAUAUCCUGCAUUUGACAUGAAACAGAUGGUGUCAUAUUGAGUUGAUCCACCAGCAAAUAAAAUCAAGGCAU
RNAcentral lists this long non-coding RNA (1082 nucleotides) under Triticum aestivum (bread wheat). RNAcentral describes it as "long non-coding RNA (TAES_LNC011552)". Lineage: Eukaryota; Viridiplantae; Streptophyta; Magnoliopsida; Poales; Poaceae. The record is from RNAcentral.